This 2096-nucleotide unclassified non-coding RNA is filed under the name Leishmania donovani. RNAcentral describes it as "gene:LdHU3.13.0080(CDS-product:hypothetical_prote in_conserved)". The record is from RNAcentral. Lineage: Eukaryota; Euglenozoa; Kinetoplastea; Trypanosomatida; Trypanosomatidae.
ACACACGCACUCAUACGUUUUUUUAUGUCUCAUCUAUGCGCACAGGGAGCCUCGCCAUCGUCUCCUACUUUGGGCGCCGCCACCACUGCAGUCACUUCUGAUGUUGUGUGCGAGCUGUCUCCUGUGCAGUCGGGCCGCCCACAUGAAGCAGCCGUCCGCGUGGAGGAUCGACUACUGCGGUACGGCGCAGUGUACCAGGAGAGGCUUCGGGAGGCGCAGCGGCACAAGCGCACGUCUGAAGCGGCUGCCUUGGAAUCGAUUGUGCGACCGCCGUCACCAGAACUUCAGCGGCGCCUUUUCGUACCCACACCUUCCCUUCACGCGUCUGCCGAGGCCGCCCGACAACACCGAGGUGAGCGCCAAUCCGCCCUUCUCGCGGAGAGGGCAACGGCAUACACGUGCCAGCCAGCAAUCCUGCCCGUCUCGCGUGAGAUGGCAGCGUCGGAGCGGAGGCGGAACGGCUGGAUGCAACUGCCAGUCGGCGAUGUGCUGAUGGAGCGCCACAAGCGCGCGGAGGGGCAUCUCGAGGAAAAGCGCCAGAAGGAGGUGGCAAGGUUUUCCUUCAGGCCUACCAUCUCUGCCCGUGCACGCACCAUGAAGUCCAGCCGACCCGUCGUCGAGCGACUCUACAGUGGUUCCGGGGAUUCGGGCACAGACACCGCAACUUUCGCUGAUGUGACCAAUCUGCGCAGCUCGAGGGGCGAAAAGACCAAAACGGCGUCCAUGGCGACAUACCAACGCCUUUACGAAGAUGCGGUGACGCGACGCGCUCAAGACCAGACGCACGAGAAACUGGCGCGUGUGCGAUCCAGAAACGAGUUCUGCCCCCGCACCGACUCCGUCAGCGGCCUCAUCGCUUCAAAGCGAGGCGACACCACUCACCAGCGACUCCUGCGACCGAGGGCAGCGCUGGAUGUGGCGCGCGAUGUAUGCCCGGAAGAGACGUUUGCACCGCGCAUCAACACAUCGACCCGCUUUGAGCAGGCCCCACUCUCCGCGCGCGCAGCGAUGUGGCAGCGACGCCGCAGCGAGCGGCUGCACCACGCCGUGGUGGCGCGUUGCGAGGCGGAGAUGCGGGAAUGCACUUUCCAUCCUCGCACGCUGCGUGGACUUACUGCGUUGUCGCAGGCCCAUGCACGCGAAACGGCAGACAGCUGCACAAGUCCCCUCGCGAGCAUUGUGAGUUCCGCUGAGGAACUGCUUAGGCGCGUCGACCUCGAGGCGUCUGCGCCGCUACCGGAGAGCGGCCGCUGCGCUCCCUUACUUUAUGGCGACGGCAAACCACCCGGAACCGUUCCCGCCGACAUCCUGGCGGUGCUUGAGGAGGCCGAGCAAGUCUCUGAGGCACUGCGCCUCCUUCCUGACACAAACUUAGACCUAGAUCUAUCACUCCACACCUCUACCGGUUGAAGGGUUUUUACGGAGCCUUCUAUCUCCCCCCUCUCGCAAAUACCUUUCUUCUUUAUGUGCAUGCGUGUGUGCUCGUGAGAACGACCGCUGCUGUCGCCGCUGCUGGUACUACUCGCGCUCAUGUUCCCGCUACGCAUUCGUCCUCUAUGAGGCGCUCGGCGUUCUUUUCGUUCUGCUGGGUUCGUACACGUGUGCACGCGCCCCCCUCCCCCUGUGGUGCGUGUGUGUUUACCGCGCGGGUACACCGAACACCCUCCGCCUCUUCUCUCCGUCGACUUCUUCUGAACGGGCGUGUUUCACACACGAGCUGCAGUUGGCACACGCACCGCGGAAGGUCAGCAGGAUGAACCAACGCUCACGUGUCAUCGUCGCCAUUGCCACCGUUGCUGUGUACUUUCUGAGUGGGUGAGUGAUGGGCUAGCUGCAGCACUGCGCGGGCGGGCAGCUUCUGUUUGUCAUCUCCCCCAUUCUCCCUCCUCCCCCCAUCCGCCGUCUCACGGGCGCUGCGUGUGUCCAUGUCGUGUGGGCGACAGCUCUGCUUCUCUUCUCCACCUCCCAAUAGUUUUCCCUGUGUACGCUUCAUGCCUGCGGCACCCCUCUCCCGUGUACUUCGCUGGUCCUCUCUGUUUCCUGCUGCAUUGUUUCUUCCCUUGCUCGUGAUCUUCUGACCGAACACGCCGUCGCAG